GUGAUUUGGAGAGAUUUGUUUUGUAGCUAAAUGUAGUAAAAUCUGUUUAGUGAAAAUUCCUUUUGAUUUAUAAUGAUUUUAAAUGGCGAAGUAGGAAAGUUAGCCUCUCAAUGCACACUAUUAUGUUAGAAUGCAUUCACGUCAUCUUCUUACUAGACUUGGAGAUUUGCUUAGUUAUAAACUGCAAUUCUUUUAAAUUAGGGCUGUCUGAUAGGAUGAUCGGGCAAAUUCCUGAAAUGUUGUCAAAUCAACAAACCGAACUGCAAGUGUAAUGGC
Non-coding RNA from Pelobates cultripes (western spadefoot toad), 276 nucleotides. The record is from the annotation of a GenBank genome assembly. NCBI's taxonomy places the organism in Eukaryota, Metazoa, Chordata, Amphibia, Anura, Pelobatidae.